GACGAACGCUGGCGGCGUGCUUAACACAUGCAAGUCGAACGAUGAAGCUGGAGCUUGCUCCGGUGGAUUAGUGGCGAACGGGUGAGUAACACGUGAGCAAUCUGCCCUCGACUCUGGGAUAACUGCGGGAAACUGUAGCUAAUACCGGAUACUUUAACUGGAAGGCAUCUUCUGGUGAAGAAAGAAUUUCGGUCAAGGAUGAGCUAGCGGCCUAUCAGCUGGUUGGUGAGGUAACGGCUCACCAAGGCGACGACGGGUAGCCGGCCUGAGAGGGUGACCGGCCACACUGGGACUGAGACACGGCCCAGACUCCUACGGGAGGCAGCAGUGGGGAAUAUUGCACAAUGGGCGCAAGCCUGAUGCAGCAACGCCGCGUGAGGGAUGAAGGCCUUCGGGUUGUAAACCUCUUUUAGCAGGGAAGAAGCGAAAGUGACGGUACCUGCAGAAAAAGCACCGGCUAACUACGUGCCAGCCGCCGCCGUAA
This 484-nucleotide ribosomal RNA is filed under the name uncultured bacterium. RNAcentral describes it as "partial 16S ribosomal RNA". It matches the Rfam family "Bacterial small subunit ribosomal RNA", at positions 28 to 523 of the family's 1533-position model. The record is from RNAcentral.